AGCCCAUGAUGAGGAUAGGCGGCCACGUACUCCUGCAGACGCUCCCAUGCUUCAGGAAUGGACUCAUCUCUUGUCUGCCGGAAACUGGAAAUCCUUCCACGAAGGGC
Molecule: small nucleolar RNA, 107 nt
Filed under: Oryza rufipogon (brownbeard rice)
Lineage: Eukaryota; Viridiplantae; Streptophyta; Magnoliopsida; Poales; Poaceae
Description: Plant small nucleolar RNA R71
Rfam family: Plant small nucleolar RNA R71
About the family: R71 is a member of the C/D box family of snoRNAs containing the C (UGAUGA) and D (CUGA) box motifs.
Source: Rfam by way of RNAcentral